RNAcentral lists this ribosomal RNA (785 nucleotides) under uncultured bacterium. Its description in RNAcentral is "bacterial SSU rRNA". It matches the Rfam family "Bacterial small subunit ribosomal RNA", at positions 8 to 796 of the family's 1533-position model. The record is from RNAcentral.
AGAGUUUGAUCAUGGCUCAGGAUGAACGCUAGCGGCAGGCUUAACACAUGCAAGUCGAGGGGUAUAGGUUUUCGGACCUAGAGACCGGCGCACGGGUGCGUAACGCGUAUGCAAUCUACCUUUUACAGAGGGAUAGCCCAGAGAAAUUUGGAUUAAUACCUCAUAGUAUUAUUGAAUGGCAUCAUUUAAUAAUUAAAGUCACAACGGUAAAAGAUGAGCAUGCGUCCCAUUAGCUAGUUGGUAAGGUAACGGCUUACCAAGGCAACGAUGGGUAGGGGUCCUGAGAGGGAGAUCCCCCACACUGGUACUGAGACACGGACCAGACUCCUACGGGAGGCAGCAGUGAGGAAUAUUGGUCAAUGGGCGCAAGCCUGAACCAGCCAUGCCGCGUGCAGGAUGAAGCAUCUAUGGUGUGUAACUGCUUUUGUACGAGAAGAAACACUACUUCGUGAAGUAGCUUGACGGUAUCGUAAGAAUAAGGACCGGCUACUCCGUGCCAGCAGCCGCGGUAAUACGGAGGGUCCAAGCGUUAUCCGGAAUCAUUGGGUUUAAAGGGUCCGUAGGCGGUUUUGUAAGUCAGUGGUGAAAGCCCAUCGCUCAACGGUGGAACGGCCAUUGAUACUGCAAGACUUGAAUUAUUAGGAAGUAACUAGAAUAUGUAGUGUAGCGGUGAAAUGCUUAGAUAUUACAUGGAAUACCAAUUGCGAAGGCAGGUUACUACUAAUGGAUUGACGCUGAUGGACGAAAGCGUGGGGAGCGAACAGGAUUAGAUACCCUAGUAGUCC